Callorhinus ursinus (northern fur seal) is the source of this 1074-nucleotide long non-coding RNA. RefSeq lists it as uncharacterized. Lineage: Eukaryota; Metazoa; Chordata; Mammalia; Carnivora; Otariidae. The record is from RefSeq and is a predicted model, not a curated record.
AUUCGCCAGUGCAUUGAUUUAUUUAUCAAACACUCUCACUAUCUCUUUGAAGGUGGAAAACAUCAAGUCGGUGUUAACAUUCUCGGUGCAUGAAGAGACUGUAGGCAUGAUCCCCCCCGGAAGAUGAGCCUCCUUCCCACUCCGGCUUCAUAAGGGCACUAAAAGGACACCAGCCCAGUGAGACCAUUCACCUGGGCAAGUCAGGCGGUGAUGCACGGUGGCCGGCACUGAGGGAGAGUUGGGAAGACUCUCUCAGAACCAUCGACAGAAGAUUACUUUUUACAGAGGGAAUCCAUUAGAGCCAAUAAGAGCGCUACAGUUAUCAAGAAACAAAAUAAACACCUUGGAGGCUUUGAUAUUAUGUUUAAAGGACAACGCAUUUACAUUUUUCACAAAAGUGUAAACAGGAAAACAGUGUGCCUGGCAGGGGAGGGCGGCUGAAGCAGACACUGGCACGAAGAACAGCGUCUUCAGUCACUGUGGCUAAGGGAAUAGGAAAUGCCAAAAAGGCCUUUGGGAGAAGCGUAUUUGCUCUACACUUGCAGCAGCCAAAAGAAGCUUUGUUGCAAGCAAUGGAAGGGUAAGGAAUUGCCUAGACUCCAGAAGCUAAUGUCAACUUGGUGAUUGAACUUGCUGUCUACCCUGAGGGCAAAGGAAACCGUUUCUUUGCCGUGUGUAUUGUCUUCAGGUUCUUAACCUCUAGGCUCAGAACAAGAGCAGGGAAGAGGUUAAGGGAAUGAGGUUCAGCAGAGACCUCCAGCUUGGCUGCUCUGGGAGCUGCGAGUUUAUUGGAGCUAAUGACUCAGAACGGUUUUGAACUCUCUGCGGGGUUCAUGUCUCCACGGCUUGCCCUGCAUUUGGCACAGAUACCCAAGCAUUGGCUGGAAUAACCAUUAUGAUAAUACGGUGGAGGAGUCCGUUUCUUUCCUAGUGAUUGCCCUUAGGAUGAGAUGGAGACAAAACCCCCAAUUGGUGAUCGCUCUGAUGUGGAUUUUAAUGGUUCUAUAAAUGAUUAAGUUGGACAUAUUCCAAAGUGGAAAAGUCAUGAAUAAAAUUUAAGAUUUUUUUCCUUUC